This 253-nucleotide ribosomal RNA is filed under the name uncultured bacterium. RNAcentral's name for it is "partial 16S ribosomal RNA". It matches the Rfam family "Bacterial small subunit ribosomal RNA", at positions 524 to 776 of the family's 1533-position model. The record is from RNAcentral.
UACAGAGGUCCCAAGCGUUGUUCGGAUUCACUGGGCGUAAAGGGUGCGUAGGCGGUUUUAUAAGUCUGAUGUGAAAUCCCGCAGCUUAACUGCGGAACUGCAUUGGAAACUGUUUGACUAGAGGAAUGGAGGGGAGACUGGAAUACUUGGUGUAGCAGUGAAAUGCGUAGAUAUCAAGUGGAACACCAGUGGCGAAGGCGAGUCUCUGGACAUUUCCUGACGCUGAGGCACGAAAGCCAGGGGAGCAAACGGG